GACACCGGCGAAAGGGCGAGUAACACGAUCGUACGUACCCCGAGGUGGGGGAUAGCGUCGGGAGAACGGCGGUAAUACCCCAUGUGCUCUACUGAGGAAAGCUUCGGCGCCUUGGGAGCGGCGGUCGUCCUAUCAGGUUGUUGGUGAGGUAACGGCUCACCAAGCCGAAGACGGGUAGCGGGUGUGAGAGCAUGACCCGCCGCAUCGGGACUGAGACACUGCCCGGACUCCUACGGGAGGCUGCAGUAACGAAUCUUGCGCAAUGCACGCAAGUGUGACGGAGCAAUGCCGCGUGUGGGAUGAAGCGGUUCCGCCGUGUAAACCACUGUCAGGGUCUAGGAAGAACUGACCAGACCCAGAGGAAGGGCCGGCUAAUCUCGUGCCAGCAGCCGCGGUAAGACGAGAGGCCCAAGCGUGAGGCGGAUUCACUGGGCUUAAAGGGUGCGUAGGCGGAUUGGCAAGCAUCUCGUGAAAUCCCUCGGCUCAACCGAGGAAUUGCGGGGUGAACUGCCAGUCUUGAGGAAGGCAGAGGCUGUCGGAACGUUCGGUGGAGCGGUGAAAUGCGUAGAUAUCGAACGGAACGCCGAAGGGGUAGCCAGGCAGCUGGGCCUUACCUGACGCUGAGGCACGAAAGCGUGGGGAUCAAACAGGAUUAGAUACCCUGGUAGUCCACGCCGUAAACGAUGUGCACUAGCUCGAUGCAGAUCUGACUCUGUGUCGGGCGCCGAGAAAUCAUUAAGUGCACCGCCUGGGGAGUACGGUCGCAAGGGCUAAAACUCAAAGGAAUUGACGGGGGCUCACACAAGCCGUGGAGCAUGUUGCUUAAUUCGAAGCAACGCGAAGUAGCCGUACCUGGGGUGUGACAUUGCACGGAUUAGUCAUUGGAAACAGUGAUGACGCUCUUCGAGUGGUACGUGCACAGGUGCUGCAUGCCUGUCGUCAGCUCGUGCUGUGAAGUUUCGGUUUAAGUCCCUUAACGAGCGCAACCCUUAUCGCUAGUUGCCAGCGCAUUAUGCCGGGACUCUAGCGAGACUGCCGGUGUCAAACCGGAGGAAGUUGGGGAUGACGUCAAGUCCUCAUGGCCUUUAUGCCCAGGGUGUCAAACGUGCUACAAUGGCGUGUACAGAGCGACGCAAUACCGUGAGUUGGAGCAAAAUCGCAAAAAGCACGCCCCAGUUCGGAUAGCAGUCUGUAACUCGACUGCUUGAAGCCGGAAUCGCUAGUAAUCGCGGAUCAGCCAUCCCGCGGGAAUACGUUCCUGAGCAUGUACACACCGCCCGUCAAGUCAUGGAAGCCGGGAGUGCCCGAAGUCGCU
This 1315-nucleotide ribosomal RNA is filed under the name uncultured organism. RNAcentral describes it as "16S ribosomal RNA". It matches the Rfam family "Bacterial small subunit ribosomal RNA", at positions 91 to 1431 of the family's 1533-position model. The record is from RNAcentral.